This 484-nucleotide ribosomal RNA is filed under the name uncultured bacterium. Its description in RNAcentral is "partial 16S ribosomal RNA". It matches the Rfam family "Bacterial small subunit ribosomal RNA", at positions 30 to 507 of the family's 1533-position model. The record is from RNAcentral.
AUUGAACGCUAGCGGGAUGCUUUACACAUGCAAGUCGAACGGCAGCUCGGACUUCGGUCUUGCUGCGAGUUGCGAACGGGUGAGUAAUGUAUCGGAACGUGCCCAGUAGCGGGGGAUAACUACGCGAAAGCGUAGCUAAUACCGCAUACUCCCUACGGGUGAAAGCAGUGGUUCGUAAGACCUUGCACUAUUGGAGCUGCCGAUAUCGUAUUAGCUAGUUGGUGAGUUAACUGCUCACCAAGGCGACGAUCGGUAGCUGGCUUGAGAGGACGACCAGCAAAACUGGAAUGGAGCAACGGCCAAGACCCCUCCGGGAGGAAGAAGAGGGGAACUUUGGCAAUUGGCGGCAAUCCUGACCCAGAAAUCCCGCGUGUGGGAUGAAGGCCUUCGGGUUGUAAAGCACUUUUGGCAGGAAAGAAACGUCGCGGGCUAAUAACCCGUGGAACUGACGGUACCUGAAGAAUAAGCAACGGCUAACUACGUG